RNAcentral lists this ribosomal RNA (820 nucleotides) under Bacillus subtilis. RNAcentral describes it as "bacterial SSU rRNA". It matches the Rfam family "Bacterial small subunit ribosomal RNA", at positions 564 to 1380 of the family's 1533-position model. The record is from RNAcentral. Lineage: Bacteria; Bacillati; Bacillota; Bacilli; Caryophanales; Bacillaceae.
AGGGCUCGCAGGCGGUUUUUUAAGUCUGAAUGUGAAAGCCCCCCGGCUUCAACCGGGGAGGGUCAUUGGAAACUGGGGAACUUGAGUGCAGAAGAGGAGAGUGGAAUUCCACGUGUAGCGGUGAAAUGCGUAGAGAUGUGGAGGAACACCAGUGGCGAAGGCGACUCUCUGGUCUGUAACUGACGCUGAGGAGCGAAAGCGUGGGGAGCGAACAGGAUUAGAUACCCUGGUAGUCCACGCCGUAAACGAUGAGUGCUAAGUGUUAGGGGGUUUCCGCCCCUUAGUGCUGCAGCUAACGCAUUAAGCACUCCGCCUGGGGAGUACGGUCGCAAGACUGAAACUCAAAGGAAUUGACGGGGGCCCGCACAAGCGGUGGAGCAUGUGGUUUAAUUCGAAGCAACGCGAAGAACCUUACCAGGUCUUGACAUCCUCUGACGAUCCUAGAGAUAGGACGUCCCCUUCGGGGGCAGAGUGACAGGUGGUGCAUGGUUGUCGUCAGCUCGUGUCGUGAGAUGUUGGGUUAAGUCCCGCAACGAGCGCAACCCUUGAUCUUAGUUGCCAGCAUUCAGUUGGGCACUCUAAGGUGACUGCCGGUGACAAACCGGAGGAAGGUGGGGAUGACGUCAAAUCAUCAUGCCCCUUAUGACCUGGGCUACACACGUGCUACAAUGGACAGAACAAAGGGCAGCGAAACCGCGAGGUUAAGCCAAUCCCACAAAUCUGUUCUCAGUUCGGAUCGCAGUCUGCAACUCGACUGCGUGAAGCUGGAAUCGCUAGUAAUCGCGGAUCAGCAUGGCGCGGGUGAAUACGUUCCCGGGCC